Papaver somniferum (opium poppy) is the source of this 1342-nucleotide long non-coding RNA. RefSeq lists it as uncharacterized. NCBI's taxonomy places the organism in Eukaryota, Viridiplantae, Streptophyta, Magnoliopsida, Ranunculales, Papaveraceae. The transcript is spliced from 3 exons. The record is from RefSeq and is a predicted model, not a curated record.
AAAGACUCGAGGGAAAGUUAGAGAAAGAAAUAGCACGAGAGCGAGAGUUGCACAAGGAAGAAAACGAAAAUGGCAAAGAAUAAUCGUGGCGGUUCUCCUGACCUUCGUCCUUCAGCUCCUCGAGCAAAAGUUACAAGGUCUUCAUCAGAUUGUGGUGGUGGUGGUGGAAUUCCAACGAAACGAUCUAAUCAUCCCCUAGGCCCAGUAUCUUCUGGUACUAACCGAAAAUUUGAUGAUAUAGAUUCAUUGUUAUCUCUUCAUAUAGAUAGAGGGAGGAACAACUUUGACGAGGACGAACGUAAACCGUCAAGAAGAACCUUCAGUGAUAAAGCUGAUUCAGUGACAUCUGCAAGACGACAUGUGCUGAAAAAACCAAUGCCCUAAUACACAACUGGUGGAAGUCGUUUUGGUUAAUUCAUUCCUGUAGGUGGGAAUAACCAAAUGCUUGGUGCCAUUAAAGUAAUCAAAGUGUUCCAAAUGCUUCGGGUGUUAGAAAAGAAAUUGAUGGUAUCAAGCAAGUUUCUAGCUGGUCUGAGCAAGAUAAGGUAUCUAAAUCGCUUGAUCAACAACCACAUGUGGUUCCACCUGUCUCGACUGAUGGAGAAUGUUCUGGCGUCUCCAAGAGGCCUAUAUUGAAUCUUCUUGCUAGAUGAAAGCCUGCGUAUGAGUUGGAAUUUUCUGUUUGGGAGCGUGAAAAGGUAUGAUUUUGAUUGGUUUGAAUUCAGGGAUACCUCGAGGUAGAUGAAGCAGCUGCUACUAAGUUGCAUGGAAAUGCUUUUUUUAAAGAGGAAGAAACUGCUGCAAAAGAAAGGAAAGGUAACCAAGGAGGUAGUAAAGCUGAUGCUGAGGAGUGCUGGCGUAGAGGAGAUUGGCGUAACUCUGAAAAGCAGCAGCAGCAGGAACCAAAAGCCUGAGCCAUAGACCUGGCGGACGCCUGUAGAGCAAUCUAACCCUGUAUAAGAAUUUGGAGUUACUGGUUUAGAUUUAGUAAAGGGAUAUUACCCUACAUUUAACUGAUACUAAUGGAAGUUUAGAGAGUACAAGAACAAUGAACUCUUUUCUGACAAGCGCACAUCGUUUAGAACAACAAAAUUACAUCAGGUAGUUCAGCUAUGAGUUAUACCGAAGCUCAUUUGAGUGGAGCAAUGGGCUAAAUUAGUCGUAGUCGUUUGUAGGUUGUUGUCUAGGACAUCUAUGGUUUACUUUGUGACACUAUUUAGAUUGUAGGUAGUUAAUGUAUAAGGUUGUGAAUAUCCUCCGUUAUUUCUGCCACCUCCUCUUGGGGACUGAACAGUUGAAACAUCAGGUCUCUCAGAUUCACUAGAUGUUGCCACUGAGUUGU